AAUAGAUACCCCGGUAGUCCACCCCGUAAACGUUGGGAACUAGUUGUGGGGUCCUUUCCACGGAUUCCGUGACGCAGCUAACGCAUUAAGUUCCCCGCCUGGGGAGUACGGCCGCAAGGCUAAAACUCAAAGGAAUUGACGGGGACCCGCACAAGCGGCGGAGCAUGCGGAUUAAUUCGAUGCAACGCGAAGAACCUUACCAAGGCUUGACAUACACCAGAACACCCUAGAAAUAGGGGACUCUUUGGACACUGGUGAACAGGUGGUGCAUGGUUGUCGUCAGCUCGUGUCGUGAGAUGUUGGGUUAAGUCCCGCAACGAGCGCAACCCUCGUUCUAUGUUGCCAGCACGUAAUGGUGGGAACUCAUGGGAUACUGCCGGGGUCAACUCGGAGGAAGGUGGGGAUGACGUCAAAUCAUCAUGCCCCUUAUGUCUUGGGCUUCACGCAUGCUACAAUGGCCGGUACAAAGGGCUGCAAUACCGUGAGGUGAGCGAAUCCCAAAAGCGGUCCAGUUCGGAUUGAGGUCUGCAACUCGACCUCA
RNAcentral lists this ribosomal RNA (541 nucleotides) under uncultured bacterium. Its description in RNAcentral is "bacterial SSU rRNA". It matches the Rfam family "Bacterial small subunit ribosomal RNA", at positions 777 to 1320 of the family's 1533-position model. The record is from RNAcentral.